RNAcentral lists this ribosomal RNA (406 nucleotides) under uncultured bacterium. RNAcentral's name for it is "partial 16S ribosomal RNA". It matches the Rfam family "Bacterial small subunit ribosomal RNA", at positions 30 to 526 of the family's 1533-position model. The record is from RNAcentral.
AUUGAACGCUGGCGGCAGGCCUAACCCAUGCAAGUCGAACGAGUGGCGGACGGGUGAGUAAUGUCUGGGCCACUGCCCGAUGGAGGGGGAUAACUACUGGAAACGGUAGCUAAUACCGCAUACCAUCGGAUGUGCCCAGAUGGGUGUAGCUCGUAGGAGGGGUAACGGCUUACCUAGGCGACGAUCCCUAGCUGGUCUGAGAGGAUGAACAGCCACACUGGACCGGAGACACGGUCCAGCCUCCUACGGGAGGCAGCAGUGGGGAAUAUUGCACAAUGGGCGAAAGCCUGAUGCAGCCAUGCCGCGUGUAUGAAGAAGGCCUUCGGGUUGUAAAGUACUUGCAGCUGGGAGGCGUUACUCGCAGAAGAAGCACCGGCUAACUCCGUGCCAGCAGCCGCGGUAAUAG